RNAcentral lists this long non-coding RNA (1648 nucleotides) under Prunus persica (peach). Its description in RNAcentral is "long non-coding RNA (PPER_LNC004376)". The record is from RNAcentral. Lineage: Eukaryota; Viridiplantae; Streptophyta; Magnoliopsida; Rosales; Rosaceae.
GGCCCGGUUCGGUUUUUGAAGACAUGGAACCGGAUCCGGAUCCGGUCCAAACCGGUCCGGUUCGGUUUUUGACCGGUUUUUGACUUUUUGGUCAACUCGGUUUUUUUCCGGUUUGGUUCGGUGCGGUUUGGUUUGGAUUUCCAGUUCGCCGGUUUGAGUGCCCACCCCUAGCCACAAGUACCAAGAGGGCAAGCCCAUGCCUUCUCUUAGCUAGUUGCACGUGCUCCCCAUUUAGAAUGGUUCCCACACCUAGCAUGGAGGUAAGGCAACUUGCCUCACCUUUCACUACAAAAGGAAAAGCCCACCUCCCAGCUAGGCCUCAUCCCAUGGGCUGGGCUUGAAAAGUCAAUCUGGUCGGGACAGGCAGAAAUAGGCCUACUUUAUUUUUGUCAAUUCUUUAUUUUUUGUUCUAUGUUUUAGUGUGUUUUUAUAUUUUCAAAUUUUUUCAUAGUUCUCUAUUUACAUUUAUCUAUAUGUUUAUGUCUCCAUUUCUUUCUUUGUUCAUAACUUCAUAGUUCUUUUUUCUUUUUUUUCUGUAAAUAUGAAGAUAUAGAUAGUUAUACAACCACCAUAUUAAUAAAAUUAUAUUUUAUCCCAUACUUCAUUUUUUCGUAGUUCUUACAAUGAUAAUAAAUAAUUAUUUUUUUAUAUAUUUCUUUAUAUGUAUGUGAACCUGUGGGAAAACAACAUGCUUAACAGAUAUUCAAACUUUAAGUAUUUUUCAACAUUGAAGCCACUACACUAAUAGGAGAAUCAUGCUUGAAAAAUUUAUGUGACUAAUGUUUUGUAUUUCUUUCCUCAAUGCAUCAUAUUUGAACCACUCUCAAUGCAUCUCAGCAUUCAAUAUAUACAAGGUAUUAAAAGUUGUUACAGGUCUGAAAACACAAACAUUUACAGAACUAUUAACAAACAAUUGAGAUAACUAAAUGUUACUAAUAUGUUCAUAAUUUCACAUGAUUUUAUAUCCUUUUUACUUAGAUUUGUGAAUUAAUUUGGACUAAAGAUGGUGAUUUUAGUUAUUUUCUGGUUUUUCAGCUUAUGAGUCCCAAAAUUUAUAAAUUCGCCAAAUAUUCCUCAUAAUAAAGUUUAACAUGAUUCCAAUUAGAGAUGGAAGAUAGCAUUUUGAAGUUUGUCCGUAAAUAUUUUCAUAAUUUUUGAAGACUGCUAAGGUGCCCAUUUUAAUUAGACAACUCAGCCUAAACUAAUUCCCGGAGAAUACUAAGUCAGCAGGGGUAUUUUGGCCAUAACCCAACUCAUACGACAUCGAAUUGAGGCACAUCACAUAUGGCUGAAAAGAAGACAUCCAAAGCUGUCCAAGAGUGGUCGUACGCAAUUUUCGGAGGUCAAGAAGGUGUUCAAAUGGCAUUCGUAAAAAGGAUCAUGUGCAGUUUCCUUGAAGUUUUAGGAAACUUAGUUUUAAUUACCUUUUCUAGUUAGGAACUAUUUUGGAAAUCAAAUCUUCAUGUAAGCCCACUUUUUUAGGCCCAUUCUAACUAGGUUUUAGGUUCUGUUUAGAGUGGAGGUCGGGGGCCUCAAAGGGUAUAUACCAGAAAUUUCAGAAUUCAACUGGAGAGCAAGGAAGAGUGACCGUGCCUCGAAACUCUAAGGGUUUUUCUUCUCUUUCUCCAUGUUUUAUUUUUGCUUUGUU